Long non-coding RNA from Rosa chinensis, 635 nucleotides. RefSeq lists it as uncharacterized. The record is from RefSeq and is a predicted model, not a curated record. NCBI's taxonomy places the organism in Eukaryota, Viridiplantae, Streptophyta, Magnoliopsida, Rosales, Rosaceae. The transcript has 5 exons.
GGCUCAUUAUCUCAAAAUCUCCUUUUCAAAUUCUAUUUCGGAAGUUCGAUACCGGAGGUGCAGGAAGAUCUGCCGGAGGCCUAGUGAUAUCCAGAAAUCCAACGCCAUUACUGCGAUGGUCCUCAGAGCCGAAGAACAAAGCCAGCUACAGCUCUUUGAACUUGAAGGCAUCGAUGAUGAAGACGACCUCUUUGAAGCAAUCGAUCAGUCUUCCUACUAACAUGCAUGGAGGGAGUGGAAAUGUUGCUUACAUUGAUACUGAGAGAACUUUUUCUUUCCAUAUUUUGUAGUAUGAGAUGAUAUCUCCCUGUAUUGACAGUUGGGGAAAACAAAAUUCUUGAUGAUUAAACUGGUUCAGCAAGCAAGAGGCUAUGUAGGACUAAGACUUAAAAGUGCAGAAAUCAUCAUUUAACAGGGGGUUUUACCUUUUCUUGGUAGAGUCUCUGCUGCUGUGAAUAAUAUUCUUCAGAACAUGUAUAGUUGAGAUGAGUUAAGGAUACUUCAAUAUGCACUGGUUGAGUUUAUGUUGGUUUGGCUAGGGGUCGAGUUUGUUUGGCCCCAUCACUUCUGGCAACAGAUUGAGUUCAUGUAUUAAUUUGUUUUAGUGAAUAGGUUGAAAACUGGAAUGUAGUUUU